This 425-nucleotide ribosomal RNA is filed under the name uncultured bacterium. Its description in RNAcentral is "partial 16S ribosomal RNA". It matches the Rfam family "Bacterial small subunit ribosomal RNA", at positions 355 to 772 of the family's 1533-position model. The record is from RNAcentral.
UGGGGAAUUUUGGACAAUGGGCGAAAGCCUGAUCCAGCAAUGCCGCGUGUGUGAAGAAGGCCUUCGGGUUGUAAAGCACUUUUGUCCGGAAAGAAAUCCUUGGCUCUAAUACAGUCGGGGGAUACGGUACCGGAAGAAUAAGCACCGGCUAACUACGUGCCAGCAGCCGCGGUAAUACGUAGGGUGCAAGCGUUAAUCGGAAUUACUGGGCGUAAAGCGUGCGCAGGCGGUUUGCUAAGACCGAUGUGAAAUCCCCGGGCUCAACCUGGGAACUGCAUUGGUGACUGGCAGGCUAGAGUAUGGCAGAGGGGGGUAGAAUUCCACGUGUAGCAGUGAAAUGCGUAGAGAUGGUGGAGGAAUACCGAUGGCGAAGGCAGCCCCCUGGGCCAAUACUGACGCUCAUGCACGAAAGCGUGGGGAGCAAA